UCACACCUGUAGCAUUAGAGUAAGGAAUGCAGUUUUGUAAACUCUCUCCUCUUUUAUUGAUGAGCUUCAAAUCCCAUCAUAUUCUAUUAUCGCACAUUCCGCUAUAAUAUUUUGUAAAUUAAGUUUUUCCCUUAGUUCACUGCUGCUGGUUUUCUUGCCUAGGCCUAACUUCCCCCACCCUUUUCUCUUCUCAGUCCGUAGAUCCCUUAGCUUCCUAUCACCAAACCUGGCCAAACUACAACAGCUUUCUUCAGUGACUGGCCCUUACAGGAGCCCAGGCGAACAGAAGCGGUCUUAUUUUCUGGAUAACAUUUCUGUUCUUUUGUUUUUCUUUUACUAGAACACUAGAACUGGUUGGGUUGGAAUGGUCAUUAAAGGUCACAAAACCAUGAAACCCUAGAACUGACUGGGUUGGAAUGGUCCUUAAAGGUCACAGAACCAUGGAACCCCAAAACUGCGUGGGUUGGAAUGGAACUUAAAGGUCACGGAACCAUGGAACCCUAGAACUGCUUGGGUUGGAAUGGAAUUUAAAGGUCACAGAACCAUGGAACCCCAGAACUGCUUGGGUUGGAAGGGUCCCUGAAGGUCACAGAAGCAUGGAACACCAGAACUGCUUGGGUUCGAAUGGUCCUUGAAGGUCACAGAACCAUGGAACCCUAGAACAGCUUGAGUUGGAACUGAUCUUAAAGGUCACAGAACCAUGGAAUCCCAGAACUGGUUGGCUUGGAAUGGUCCUAAAGUGUCACAGAACCAUGGAACACUAGAACUGGGUGGGUUGGAAUGGUCCUAAAAGGUCAGAGAACCAUGAAACCCUAGAACUGGCUGGGUUGGAAUGGUCCUUAAAGGCCACAGAACCAUGGAACACUAGAAAAGGUUGGGUUGGAAUGGACCUUAAAGGUCACAGAACCACGGAACACUAGAACUGGUUGGGUUGGAAUGGAACUUAAAGGUCACAGAACCAUGGAACCCUAGAACUGGUUGGGUUGGAAUGGUCCUUAAAGGUCACAAAACCAUGGAACCCUAGAAAUGGUUGGGUUGGAAUGGUCCUUAAAGGUCAUAGAACCAUGGAACCCCAGAAUUGCUUGCUUUGGAAUGAUACUUAAAGGUCACAGAAACAUGGUACCGCAGAACUGGUUGUUAUGGAAUGGUCCUUAAAGGUCACAGAAUCAUGGAACCCCAGAAUUGGUUGGGAUGGAAUGGUCCUUAAAGGUCACAGAACCAUAGAACACUAGAAAAGGUUAGGAAGGAAUGGUCCUUAAAGGUCACAGAACCAUGGAACACUAGAAAAGGUUGGGUUGGAAUGGAACUUAAAGGUCACAGAACCAUGGAACCCUAGAACUGCUUGUGUUGGAAUGGAACUUAAGGUCAUAGAACCAUGGAACCCCAGAACUGCUAGGGUUGGAAUGGUCCCUGAAGGUCACAGAAGCAUGGAACCCUAGAAAUGGUUGGGAUGGAAUGGUCCUUAAAAUUCCCAGAACCAUGGAAACCCAGAACUGGUUGGGAUGGAAUUGUCCUUAAAGUUCACAGAACCAUGGAACCCCAGAACUUGUAGGGUUGGAAUGGUCCUUAAAGGUCACAGAACCAUAGAACACUAGAAAAGGUUGGGUUGGAAUGAUCCUUGAAGGCCACAGAACCAUGGAACCCUAGAAAUGGUUGGCUUGGAAUGGUCCUUGAAGUUCACAGAACCAUGGAACACUAGAACUGGUUGGGUUGGAUUGGAACUUAAAGGUCACAGAACGAUGGAACCCAAGAACUGGUUGGGUUGGAAUGGACCUUAAAGGUCACAGAACCAUGGAACACUAGAAAAGGUUGGGUUGGAAUGGACCUUAAAGGUCACAGAACCACGGAACACUAGAACUGGUUGGGUUGGAAUGGAACUUAAAGGUCACAGAACCAUGGAACCCUAGAAAUGGUUGGGUUGGAAUGGUCCUUAAAGGUCAUAGAACCAUGGAACCCUAGAAAUGGUUGGGUUGGAAUGGUCCUUAAAGGUCAUAGAACCAUGGAACCCCAGAAUUGCUUGCUUUGGAAUGAUACUUAAAGGUCACAGAAACAUGGUACCGCAGAACUGGUUGUUAUGGAAAGGUCCUUAAAGGUCACAGAACCAUGGAACACUAGAAAAGGUUGGGAUGGAAUGGUCCUUAAAGGUCACAGAACCAUAGAACACUAGAAAAGGUUGGGAAGGAAUGGUCCUUAAAGGUCACAGAACCAUGGAACCCUAGAAAAGGUUGGGUUGUAAUGGAACUUAAAGGUCACAGAACCACGGAACCCCAGAAAUGCGUGGCUUGAAAUGGCCCUUAAAGGUCAGAGAACCAUGGAACCCUAGAACUGCUUGGGUUGGAAUGGUCCUUAAAGGUCACAGAAGCAUGGAACCCUAGAAUUGGUUGGGUUGGAAUGGUCCUUAAAGGUCACAGAACCAUGGAACCCUAGAAAUCGUUGGGUUGGAAUGGUCCUUAAAGGUCAUAGAACCAUGGAACCCCAGAAUUGCUUGCUUUGGAAUGAUACUUAAAGGUCACAGAAACAUGGUACCGCAGAACUGGUUGUUAUGGAAUGGUCCUUGAAGGUCACAGAACCAUGAAACCUUAGAAAUGGUUGGGUUGGAAUGGUCCUUAAAGGCCACAGAACCAUGGAACACUAGAAAAGGUUGGGUUGGAAUGGACCUUAAAGGUCACAGAACUACGGAACACUAGAACUGGUUGGGUUGGAAUGGAACUUAAAGGUCACAGAACCAUGGAACCCUAGAAAUGGUUGGGUUGGAAUGGUCCUUAAAGGUCAUAGAACCAUGGAACCCCAGAAUUGCUUGCUUUGGAAUGAUACUUAAAGGUCACAGAAACAUGGUACCGCAGAACUGGUUGUUAUGGAAUGGUCCUUAAAGGUCACAGAAUCAUGGAACCCCAGAAUUGGUUGGGAUGGAAUGGUCCUUAAAGGUCACAGAACCAUAGAACACUAGAAAAGGUGGGGAAGGAAUGGUCCUUAAAGGUCACAGAACCAUGGAACACUAGAAAAGGUUGGGUUGGAAUGGAACUUAAAGGUCACAGAACCACGGAACCCCAGAAAUGCGUGGCUUGAAAUGGUCCUUAAAGGUCAGAGAACCAUGGAACCCUAGAACUGCUUGUGUUGGAAUGGAACUUAAGGUCAUAGAACCAUGGAACCCCAGAACUGCUAGGGUUGGAAUGGUCCCCGAAGGUCACAGAAGCAUGGAACCCUAGAAAUGGUUGGGAUGGAAUGGUCCUUAAAAUUCCCAGAACCAUGGAAACCCAGAACUGGUUGGGAUGGAAUUGUCCUUAAAGUUCACAGAACCAUGGAACCCCAGAACUUGUAGGGUUGGAAUAGUCCUUCAAGGUCACAGAACCAUGGAAAACCAGAACUUCUAGGGUUGGAAUGGUCGUUAAAGGUCACAGAACCAUGGAACCCCAGAACUUGUAGGGUUGGAAUGGUCCUUAAAGGUCACAGAACCAUAGAACACUAGAAAAGGUUGGGUUCGAAUGGUCCUUGAAGGCCACAGAACCAUGGAACACUAGAACUGGUUGGGUUGGAUUGGAACAUAAAGGUCACAGAACGAUGGAACCCAAAAACUGGUUGGGUUGGAAUGGUCCUUAAAGGUCACAGAACCAUGGAACACUAGAAGAGGUUGGGAUGGAAUGGUCCUUAAAGGUCACAGAACCAUGGAACACUAGAAAUGGUUGGGUUGGAAUGGACCUUAAAGGUCACAGAACCACGGAACCCCAGAACUGGUUGGGUUGGAAUGGUCCUUAAAGGUCACAGAACCAUGGAACCCCAGAACUGCUUGGGUUGGAAUGGUCCUUAAACGUCACAGAACCAUGAAACCCUAGAACUGGCUGGGUUGGAAUGGUCCUUAAAGGUCACAGAACCAUGGAACACUAGAAAAGGUUGGGAUGGAAUGGUCCUAAAGUGUCACAGAACCACGGAACACUAGAACUGGUUGGGUUGGAAUGGAACUUAAAGGUCACAGAACCAUGGAACCCUAGAAAUGGUUGGGUUGGAAUGGUCCUUAAAGGUCAUAGAACCAUGGAACCCCAGAAUUGCUUGCUUUGGAAUGAUACUUAAAGGUCACAGAAACAUGGUACCGCAGAACUGGUUGUUAUGGAAUGGUCCUUAAAGGUCACAGAAUCAUGGAACCCCAGAAUUGGUUGGGAUGGAAUGGUCCUUAAAGUUCACAGAACCAUGGAACCCCAGAACUUGUAGGGUUGGAAUGGUCCUUAAAGGUCACAGAACCAUGGAACACCAGAACUUGUAGGGUUGGAAUGGUCGUUAAAGGUCACAGAACUAUGAAACCCUAGAACUGGCUGGUUUGGAAUGGUCCUUAAAGGUCACAGAACCAUAGAACACUAGAAAAGGUUGGGUUGGAAUGGUCCUUGAAGGCCACAGAACCAUGGAGCCCCAGAACUGCUAGCGUUGGAAAGGUCCGUGAAGGUCACAGAACCACGGAAUACUAGAACUGCUUGGUUGGAAUGUAACUUAAAGGUCACAGAACCAUGGAACCCCAGAACUGCUAGGGUUGGAAUUUUCCUUAAAGGUCACAGAACAUUGGAACCCUAGAACAGCUUGGGUUGGAACUGAUCUUAAAGGACACAGAACCAUGGAAACCUAGAACUGCUUGGGAUGGAAUGGUCCUUAAAGGUCACAGAACCAUGGAACCCCAGAACUGCAUGGGUUGGAACUGAUCUUAAAGGUCACAGAACCAUGGAACCCCAGAACUGGUUGGCUUGGAAUGGUUUUAAAGUGUCACAGAACCAUGGAACACUAGAACUGGGUGGGUUGGAAUGGUCCUAAAAGGUCACAGAACCAUGAAACCCUAGUACUGGCUGGGUUGGAAUGGUCCUUAAUGGUCACAGAACCACGGAACACUAGAACUGGUUGGGUUGUAAUGGAACUUAAAAGUCACAGAACCAUGGAACCCUAGAAAUGGUUGGGUUGGAAUGGUCCUUAAAGGUCACAGAACCAUGGAACUCCAGAACUGGUUGGAAAGGAAUGGUCCUUAAAGGUCACAGAACCAUGGAAUACUAGAAAAUGUUGGGUUGGAAUGGUCCUUAAAGGUCACAGAACUAUACAACCCUAGAACCGGUUGGAUUGGAAUGGUCCACAAGUGUCACAGAACCAUUGAACCCCAGAAGUGGUUGGGUUGGAAUGGUCCUUAAAGAUCACAGAACCAUGGAACCCUUGAACUGGUUGGGUUGGAAUAGUCCUUAAAGGUCACAGAAGCAUGGAACCCUAGAAAUGGUUGGGUUGGACCUGAACUUAAAGGUCACAGAACCAUGGAACCCCAGAACUGCUUGGGAUGGAAUGGUCCUUGAAGGUCACAGAACCACUGAACCCUAGAACUGGUUGCGUUGGAAUCGUCCUUAAAGGUCACAGAACCAUGGAACCCCAAAACUGCUUGGGUUGGAAUGGAACUUAAAGGUCACAGAACCAUGGAACACUAGAACUGGUUGCGUUGGAAUGGACCUUAAAGGUCACAGAACCACGGAACACUAGAACUGGUUGGGUUGGAAUGGAACUUAAAGGUCACAGAACCAUGGAACACUAGAACUGGUUGCGUUGGAAUGGUCCUUAAAGGUCACAGAACCAUGGAAUGCUAGAACAGCUUGGGUUGGAACUGAUCUUAAAGGUCACAGAACCACGGAACACUAGAACUAGUUGGGUUGGAAUGGACCUUAAGGGUCACAGAACCACGGAACAGUAGAACUGGUUGGGUUGGAAUGGUCCAUAAGUGUCACAGAACCAUUGAACCCCAGAACUGCUAGGGUUGGAAUGGU
Molecule: long non-coding RNA, 5774 nt
Organism: Lagopus muta (rock ptarmigan)
Lineage: Eukaryota; Metazoa; Chordata; Aves; Galliformes; Phasianidae
Exons: 12
Source: RefSeq, a predicted model, not a curated record